This 208-nucleotide ribosomal RNA is filed under the name uncultured bacterium. Its description in RNAcentral is "partial 16S ribosomal RNA". It matches the Rfam family "Bacterial small subunit ribosomal RNA", at positions 524 to 732 of the family's 1533-position model. The record is from RNAcentral.
UACGUAGGAGGCAAGCGUUGUCCGGAAUCACUGGGCGUAAAGCGUGCGCAGGCGGUUGUGCAAGACCGAUGUGAAAUCCCCCGGGCUUAACCUGGGAAUGGCAUUGGUGACUGCACGGCUAGAGUGUGUCAGAGGGGGGUAGAAUUCCACGUGUAGCAGUGAAAUGCGUAGAGAUGUGGAGGAAUACCGAUGGCGAAGGCGACCCUGG